This 203-nucleotide non-coding RNA is filed under the name Peptostreptococcus anaerobius. Its description in RNAcentral is "T-box sequence". It matches the Rfam family "T-box leader". From Rfam's summary of the family: Uncharged tRNA acts as the effector for transcription antitermination of genes in the T-box leader family. T-boxes are found upstream of many aminoacyl-tRNA synthetase genes and some amino acid biosynthetic genes usually in Gram-positive bacteria. The anticodon of a specific tRNA base pairs to a specifier sequence within the T-box motif, and the NCCA acceptor tail of the tRNA base pairs to a conserved bulge in the T-box antiterminator hairpin. The record is from RNAcentral. Lineage: Bacteria; Bacillati; Bacillota; Clostridia; Peptostreptococcales; Peptostreptococcaceae.
AUACAGCCGAUGACGGAGAGAGUAGCUUAGAUGAAUUUACAGCGAGUUGGGGUUUUGGUGUGAGCCCGAUAUUGGAUUUUGAGUGAAGAGAGCUUCUGAGGUUAUUGGAGGAAUUUAGUAUUCCAAUAGGUUUCCCGCCUUAAGGGUUUGAGUGGACAGUCAAAUGUCAAUUAGAGUGGUAACGCGGUGUAUUCGUCUCUUAA